Nicotiana attenuata is the source of this 1445-nucleotide long non-coding RNA. RefSeq lists it as uncharacterized. NCBI's taxonomy places the organism in Eukaryota, Viridiplantae, Streptophyta, Magnoliopsida, Solanales, Solanaceae. The record is from RefSeq and is a predicted model, not a curated record. The transcript has 2 exons.
ACCACCCCAAAAAAAAAAGGAAAAAAAAACCCAAAAAUGAUGAGCGUGGAACACAAACCAAGUGUAGGAAUCGCAAAGGAGCUCCAGCCACCCAGACUUCCUCUUCAGCUGCCAGUCCAAAUAGGUUGAAACUGCAGCAGAACUACCCAGAGACACCCUAGGCAAUUCUCCUGGACCUGCACAGAAGCCUGAAACGCUUACUUGGGAAAGAGUUUGGUGUUCGAAGUCACAGUCGACAUGGCAGUGCCUGUGGUGACACGAUCAUCCGAAUUAGCUGAUUAUCUUGAAAGUGUCCCGAGCAAAUGAUGAUGAGUUAAAUAUCCAUCUUGAGCUUAUCCCAUUAGAUAAACAACCGGCACCAAGUCUGAAAAAAUGCCAUAUCUGCUGCAGCCAAAGCACGCCAGUUGAACACCUCUGUGAAGUCAGAACUCCUUUCAUGUCAUACAGAAAAAAAACUUCCAUUCCACUAUCCUUGUCAAAAGUAGAAAUGAGACAUAUUUAUAUGGAGGCCUUAGUGACCUAAAACAUGGAACUCUCUGCAUUAGAUGCAAGACAAAUUCAAAACUUUCUGUGCUGCACAAUCUUAUUCCUGAUGCAAGGAUGGACACUUCUAUCUUCUGAUUCAGCUUUAAUGUCUCUAUCUGAUGAUACAUGUUUGUUUUUAAUGGUUAUACCUCUAAAUAUCUUCAGAAUAGGAUUUGCUUCCAUAGUAUCUGCAGGCUGUUCAUUUUUCCAUUUUCCCUCAAUGACCAUUUUUGUAAUGAUAUUCUUGAGUGCAGCUUAUUGUUCAGUGGACAAAAUCAUAAGCCAAAGAUGUUUAAUUAGUGGCAGCAAAGGACAACAGUGUUGUUGGCAAUGCACUGUUAACCAUUCAACCUUAAUGGAUGCAUCAAAUAUGCUAGCCCAGGUUAUCAGUGGGUCCAAGGUUACUCUGCAAAGCUUGCAAAGGCGAGAAAUUUUUUAUGGAAUCAAUUCUAGUUGCCCAUUACAUAAAAAUCUGACGAGUUGGAAAUAAAAUGAGGAAUCAAGUUCUAUUCUAUUACAACAACAACAUACCCAGUAUAUUACCACAUGCGGGGUCUGGGUUAGGUAGUGUGUACGCCGUCUUACUCUUAUCUUGUGCAGGUAGAGGGACUGUUUCCAAGAGACCCCUGGCUCAGGCCAAGUUCUAUUAUAUUAUCUUAUAAAAUUUAUGUUUGUUGAUGUUUCCAUUUAAGUCCCAUUUUUUGGUUGUUGUUUCAGAUACUCGUUUACGUGCAAAAGAAUUCUGAGGUAUGAUGAUUAUAUAGUUACGUGAGUUUCUUGAUUCGGGUUUGUAGAGGGAUGAGGGCCGGGGAGAAAAGAAGAUAGGGGUGUAUGUUCACCGGAGAACAUGUGGAGCCAAUCAUUAGGAAUUGUUUUAGUUUUCUCUGAAUAGCAGUAGUCCGCUACUUUCCAGUUCUGCA